This 30-nucleotide small RNA is filed under the name Bombyx mori (domestic silkworm). Its description in RNAcentral is "ovarian small RNA-1702". The record is from RNAcentral. Lineage: Eukaryota; Metazoa; Arthropoda; Insecta; Lepidoptera; Bombycidae.
CAGAACAGUAGGGCUGCGGGUGCUCCGCGA